This 26-nucleotide non-coding RNA is filed under the name Cricetulus griseus (Chinese hamster). The record is from RNAcentral. Lineage: Eukaryota; Metazoa; Chordata; Mammalia; Rodentia; Cricetidae.
UAAAAGGCAUUACAGAAUCCACACUG